GAUGAAGAACGCAGCGAAAUGCGAUACUUGGUGUGAAUUGCAGAAUCCCGUGAACCAUCGAGUCUUUGAACGCAAGUUGCGCCCGAAGCCACUAGGCCGAGGGCACGCCUGCCUGGGCGUCACACGCCGUUGCCCCCCCAUCUACUCCUUCGGGAUUGCGGGGGGGCGGAUGAUGGCCUCCCGUGCGCCUAGCCGCGCGGUUGGCAUAAAUACCAAGUCCUCGGCGACGCACGCCACGACAAUCGGUGGUUGCGAAACCUCGGUUGCCCGUCGUGUGCGUUCGUCGCGCAUCGAGGGCUCGAAAAAAUGCUCGGCUCCGGCUGGGCUUUCAACGCGACCCCAGGUCAGGCGGGGUUACCCGCUGAAUUUAAGCAUAUCAAGCGGAGGA
Molecule: unclassified non-coding RNA, 388 nt
Filed under: soil metagenome
Description: partial contains 5.8S ribosomal RNA, internal transcribed spacer 2, and large subunit ribosomal RNA
Rfam family: 5.8S ribosomal RNA (bases 1-122)
Source: RNAcentral